RNAcentral lists this ribosomal RNA (235 nucleotides) under uncultured Candidatus Saccharibacteria bacterium. RNAcentral's name for it is "partial 16S ribosomal RNA". It matches the Rfam family "Bacterial small subunit ribosomal RNA", at positions 584 to 818 of the family's 1533-position model. Lineage: Bacteria; Candidatus Saccharimonadota. The record is from RNAcentral.
UAAGCGUGUGAUGAAAUCUUGUGGCUCAACCAUGAGACUAUUACGCGAACUGUAAAGCUAGAAUAUAUGAGGGGUACCUAGAAUUCCCGGUGUAGGAGUGGAAUCCGUAGAUAUCGGGAGGAAUACCAAUGGCGUAGGCAGGGUACUGGCAUAUUAUUGACGCUAAGGCACGAAAGCGUGGGGAGCGAACGGGAUUAGAUACCCCGGUAGUCCACGCCGUAAACGAUGGAUGCUA